AGAGUUUGAUCCUGGCUCAGGACGAACGCUGGCGGCGUGCCUAAUACAUGCAAGUCGAGCGAGCUUGCCUAGAUGAUUUUAGUGCUUGCACUAAAUGAAACUAGAUACAAGCGAGCGGCGGACGGGUGAGUAACACGUGGGUAACCUGCCCAAGAGACUGGGAUAACACCUGGAAACAGAUGCUAAUACCGGAUAACAACACUAGACGCAUGUCUAGAGUUUGAAAGAUGGUUCUGCUAUCACUCUUGGAUGGACCUGCGGUGCAUUAGCUAGUUGGUAAGGUAACGGCUUACCAAGGCAAUGAUGCAUAGCCGAGUUGAGAGACUGAUCGGCCACAUUGGGACUGAGACACGGCCCAAACUCCUACGGGAGGCAGCAGUAGGGAAUCUUCCACAAUGGACGAAAGUCUGAUGGAGCAACGCCGCGUGAGUGAAGAAGGGUUUCGGCUCGUAAAGCUCUGUUGGUAGUGAAGAAAGAUAGAGGUAGUAACUGGCCUUUAUUUGACGGUAAUUACUUAGAAAGUCACGGCUAACUACGUGCCAGCAGCCGCGGUAAUACGUAGGUGGCAAGCGUUGUCCGGAUUUAUUGGGCGUAAAGCGAGUGCAGGCGGUUCAAUAAGUCUGAUGUGAAAGCCCUCGGCUUAACCGAAGAAGUGCAUCGGAAACCGGGCGACUUGAGUGCAGAAGAGGACAGUGGAACUCCAUGUGUAGCGGUGGAAUGCGUAGAUAUAUGGAAGAACACCAGUGGCGAAGGCGGCUGUCUGGUCUGCAACUGACGCUGAGGCUCGAAAGCAUGGGUAGCGAACAGGAUUAGAUACCCUGGUAGUCCAUGCCGUAAACGAUGA
Molecule: ribosomal RNA, 844 nt
Filed under: uncultured bacterium
Lineage: Bacteria
Description: bacterial SSU rRNA
Rfam family: Bacterial small subunit ribosomal RNA
Source: RNAcentral